AGUUCAGAUUGUGGGCUGAAACCCGCCCACAUGAAGCUGAAUUCGCUAGUAAUCCCGGAUCAGCAUGCCGGGGUGAAUCCGUUCCCGGGUCUUGUACACACCGCCCGUCACACCAUGAGAGUUGGCAAUACCCAACGUACGUGAUCUAACCCGCAAGGGAGGAAGCGUCCUAAGGUAGGGUCAGCGAUUGGGGUGAAGUCGUAACAAGGUAGC
RNAcentral lists this ribosomal RNA (213 nucleotides) under uncultured bacterium. RNAcentral's name for it is "partial 16S ribosomal RNA". It matches the Rfam family "Bacterial small subunit ribosomal RNA", at positions 1290 to 1500 of the family's 1533-position model. The record is from RNAcentral.